GUGCGAGACCGAUAGCGAACAAGUACCGUGAGGGAAAAGAUGAAAAGAACUUUGAAAAGAGAGUUAAAGAGUACCUGAAACUGCUGAAAGGGAACCGAAUCGUAUCCAGUGUCUAUAAUCCAUGGCAUAUUUCAUUGGCGAGUGAGUGCGUGCAGCGUUUUGGAAGUGGUUUUCCGCUCCUGUCGUUGUUGUGCAUUUGCUUGCUGGUGCCCUGUGCUGUGGUGGGACGUCAGAGUCAGUUUGUGUGUCGCGGGAAAUGGUUAUUGGGGAGGUAGGUCGCUUCGGUGGCUAUUAUAUCCUGGUAACUAGUCGUCGUGGCUGAGACUGAGGUGCCUACAAUGUGCUUUCGAGUGUGCGGGUUUCUCGUGUGGCUGUUUGCUUUGAUAGCUUGCUAUGUUGGUGAAUAAGUUGUGCGAUUGAGACCUGUAUUAACUUGUUGCUGUUCGGGACUUUGA
Molecule: ribosomal RNA, 455 nt
Filed under: uncultured Oomycota
Lineage: Eukaryota; Oomycota
Description: LSU rRNA
Rfam family: Eukaryotic large subunit ribosomal RNA
Source: RNAcentral